RNAcentral lists this ribosomal RNA (606 nucleotides) under uncultured Alphaproteobacteria bacterium. RNAcentral's name for it is "bacterial SSU rRNA". It matches the Rfam family "Bacterial small subunit ribosomal RNA", at positions 84 to 725 of the family's 1533-position model. Lineage: Bacteria; Pseudomonadati; Pseudomonadota; Alphaproteobacteria. The record is from RNAcentral.
UUCGGAUGUCAGUGGCAGACGGGUGAGUAACACGUGGGAACGUGCCCUUCGGUUCGGAAUAACUCAGGCAAACUUGAGCUAAUACCGGAUACGCCCUUUUGGGGAAAGGUUUACUGCCGAAGGAUCGGCCCGCGUCUGAUUAGCUAGUUGGUGGGGUAAUGGCCCACCAAGGCGACGAUCAGUAGCUGGUCUGAGAGGAUGAUCAGCCACACUGGGACUGAGACACGGCCCAGACUCCUACGGGAGGCAGCAGUGGGGAAUAUUGGACAAUGGGCGAAAGCCUGAUCCAGCCAUGCCGCGUGAGUGAUGAAGGCCUUAGGGUUGUAAAGCUCUUUCGACGGGGACGAUAAUGACGGUACCCGUAGAAGAAGCCCCGGCUAACUUCGUGCCAGCAGCCGCGGUAAUACGAAGGGGGCUAGCGUUGCUCGGAAUCACUGGGCGUAAAGGGCGCGUAGGCGGCCGAUCAAGUCAGAGGUGAAAGCCCAAGGCUCAACCUUGGAAUUGCCUUUGAUACUGUUUGGCUCGAGACCGGAAGAGGUAAGUGGAACUGCGAGUGUAGAGGUGAAAUUCGUAGAUAUUCGCAAGAACACCAGUGGCGAAGGCGGC